ACGAACGCUGGCGGCAUGCCUAACACAUGCAAGUCGAACGAGACCUUCGGGUCUAGUGGCGCACGGGUGCGUAACGCGUGGGAACCUGCCCUUAGGUUCGGAAUAACUCCCCGAAAGGGGUGCUAAUACCGGAUAAUGUCUUCGGACCAAAGAUUUAUCGCCUUUGGAUGGGCCCGCGUUGGAUUAGCUAGUUGGUUGGGUAAAAGCCUACCAAGGCGACGAUCCAUAGCUGGUCUGAGAGGAUGAUCAGCCACACUGGGACUGAGACACGGCCCAGACUCCUACGGGAGGCAGCAGUGGGGAAUAUUGGACAAUGGGCGAAAGCCUGAUCCAGCAAGGCCGCGUGAGUGAUGAAGGCCUUAGGGUUGUAAAGCUCUUUUACCCGGGAUGAUAAUGACAGUACCGGGAGAAUAAGCUCCGGCUAACUCCGUG
RNAcentral lists this ribosomal RNA (432 nucleotides) under uncultured bacterium. RNAcentral describes it as "partial 16S ribosomal RNA". It matches the Rfam family "Bacterial small subunit ribosomal RNA", at positions 29 to 507 of the family's 1533-position model. The record is from RNAcentral.